UCUGUGGAGAGGGCUGAGGACAGAGAGGGCUGAAAAGCCCCUCCCUCAGCCCUGCACCCCUUCAGCAGCGCUGUGGGGUAAGCUGGAACCCUGCUGGGCCUCACACCUCACCGCCCUUCUUCUGUCUUCUGCGUGCUGUCUCCCAGGCCCACCCUCUCCUCUGGAAGCACUGGAACCCUCUUCACAACUCAUUUCUCUCUCACGUGGAGUCAUUGGUCGAACAGGAAAACAGGCUUGCAGAAGACUGCUGACUCACACCAGGUUCCACCAGAAACAGACUCUGAGAUUUUCACACAGGAGAAUUCCUGGGGAACGACACCUGCUGAGUGAGGGGGCAAAAGAAGCAGAACUGGCAGAGAGAAAAGCUGAAGGACGAUGCGGUUGGAAGAGCGGAGAGCUCGGAAGCUGGGAUGGCCCUUCAGAAGCGGCCCUCACUGAGGAGAAGCUCCGCUGAGGCCCAGAGAAAUGACGGUGGGAGGGGUCAGCAAGAGAGCCUUGAAAUGGAAUGCUGGAGCUCUCGGGAUGGACGGGGUACCACGACAGCUGUCCUGCAGAUGGAGAAGAGCAUUUGAACUUUGAGUUUAUAUUUCUAGAAAAACUUCCCCUCCCCCUCUUUUUCUCCAGCUCAACUCCCUUGCUGUAUUAUGGGGCUUUUGUGAGGUUUAGAAAAAUAAACAGAAUCUAACCAUAACUGUCUGAAAGUGCUAAAUUACCAAG
This is a long non-coding RNA of Mustela lutreola (European mink), 717 nucleotides long. RefSeq lists it as uncharacterized. The transcript has 3 exons. Lineage: Eukaryota; Metazoa; Chordata; Mammalia; Carnivora; Mustelidae. The record is from RefSeq and is a predicted model, not a curated record.